GAUGUCAUAGAUGGGUGACAAUGAAUUAACCGUAUAAAGGAAAGUGGGGGGAAAUGAGGAUUCUGAACAACGAUGAAAGACCAAGGGGUGAAAGACCGCACGGCAGAUUUAUAUAAAUGUGUUCGGUACGGCUAAAGGAGAGUUAGAGGGAGGGAGGAAACUGGAUACGAGCACAGGCCAGGUCACAUAAUACUUCAAAGGAUCCUGGUCAUUAUCCCAAGACAAAUUAGAACUCUUCAUAAAGAUGUUAAGGUAACUGAUACGGUCAGAAUUGCAUCUGUGUGAAGUCACUGGCAGCAAUAUGAAGAACGGGGAGGAGAAGAGCAAGAGGAAAGACCACCAGACAGGUUCCAAUUGUAAUGGUCUCAGCUUGAGAGAUGAGGACCUGAGAACAGAUCACAAGCACGUUUUCCUUCAAAUCUUCUCCGGGGAGCUCAGCUUAACCAAACCGUGCAAACAAUUGCAUCCAUCACCAGCCACAGAAAUCCUCAGGAAGAUACCCAGACUAUGAAAGACUGAGGUUGGGAACAGGUGGAGGGUACAUUACCUGCAAAACAAGUAGGCCUUUGCAUCAAGAACCUGAAUUUGCAUCAAGAACCUUAACACAGAUGAGACACGGAUGAGCUAUUCUCCAGGGCCACGUACCCUACCUCACAACCUUCCCCGCCACCCUGAAAGUCAUCUCAGGAGCCUUUCCGGGGGAAAAAAGGGAGACAUUACCAAGAACAAGUCAUGAGGAGGAUUUCACUGAGGAGGAACAUCUAGAAAUCACAGACCUGAGAAAGAAUCUCCAGAUGGAAGUUGCUAGAAUUUCAAAGUAGUGUUUCCACACUAGAGACAUGACAUGCUUAAGGGCCAUGGAACAAGGAUGCUUUGUAACUUCUUGCCUCCACAUCUGCCUCAUAUAAUGGCCGACUCUGAGAGGAGGAGAGUGUGUUGUUUAGAAGCAUGGGCUCUGCCAUCAUAUUCCCCAGGUCCUGCCUCUUGUUAGCUCAGAGCUUGAGCAAAUGACUUACCUCUCUAUGACUGAGUUUCUUCAUCUGUUAAAAUGGGGACAGGGAUGGUGAUGAUGAUAUCAUCUGUUCUAUAGGAUUGCUAUGAAAAAAUAAAAGAUUAGUAUUUGUAAAGCACUUACAGCAUCUGGCACAUAUUUGUUAAAUAAGAAUGACACAAUGUUAUAGGCACUGUGGCUCUUCUUAAUUUCCUGAAGAAACAGCUGUUCACAAAACUUUGUGAAAGCUUAAAUGUAGCUGAAGUUGACCAAAAAAUAUGGUGUGAAAAAUUUUGCUUCUCCUACUCAUCAGCCCCUUCACUAUAGAGGUGUGUCUAUUCAGUGCUCACAGAAGUCCUAUAUUUCAGUGGCCUGUUCUGGAUGUCCAAACUUCUAAUGAGAAAUAAUACCUUAUUUAGGUUAAAAAGAAGAUGGACUGAUAUUAGGUGUCUGCUUUCUAGAUGACUGUUAGGACAUUCUUUGUGUUCAACAAAAUAUUCUCACAAGAAGAGAUGCUUUAAAAAACACAUCACAGGAGAAAUUGAGUUAGAUUUCAGAAAUGUAAAUAUGGUGAAAAUUGUCUGGAUUCACAGGAAAUUGGUGACUUUCUGAAUGCAAGAAAAUGAUAUGAAAUUCAUUGACAAUGUAUAUUUAUACUUCACAUUUUCAGAUUUUAAUAUUACAGCUAUUAGAAAUGCAUCCAGUUUUUAUUUAUGCAAGAGCUGAUUAGCCAGAUCUGAUAUUUUACAAGUUUUUUAUUGCUGUUUCCUUCCCACUCUAAACCUGCAAUUUUCUGCAUUUUGAUCAAUUACAAAGCAUGUGAAACUGGUUUCUUUAAUAUGGUAGAUUUCCAACACAGACAGUAUAGCUCCUCACUUUCUCUUUUGUGGGAAGAUACAGGACUAAAAGGCCACAUCUUCUGGGUGGCUUCCAUAUUCUCUGGAUUUGUUUAUAGCUUUGGGUUGAACACUCUGACCAAGUAAUUUCAUAUUCUUGCCUGCUGUGUCAUGAUUUAGUAUCCCAACAAAGUUGAAGGUGUUACUUCCUCAUAUUACCACUCACAGGAUUUGGGGGCCUGAUACCAGCUUUAAACACCAGCUUCAGCGUAGAAGUAUACUUGUAGGACUUUGGGUGGGACUUCAAAUACUGAAAGAGGAAAGGAAAAUUUGCAUGCUGUGGGUAGCCACUGAAGUACCCAUGGUGAGUUGACAUUCAAGCUUUCAGACUUUGAUUAAAAGGCUAGGAAGGAAGCGAUAGAUGAUAAGGCUACAAUCAACUUAUAAUUGGGUAUUUUAUGUGUUUGGUUUUUUUUUUUAAUACUUUACCUUAUUAAAAAAAUACUUUACCUUAUUCCCAAAAGUCAAGCAGUUAUGUGAUUCCUCUUCCAGGACAGUGUCAGGAACUCUCAUUUCUUUUCUUUCUCCUCUGCCUGUUCAGGCCGUGCUUAACUCUAAUAAUUUCUUUUCAAACUCGAGUUGCUUAGGCAACUACACUCUUUGCUCUCUAACUUGACCCCAUUUCCUGAUGAAUAGGCUUUUCAUUUUUUCACUAAGUCCUAAGACUUUCACAUUUUGCAAUUUUCUCUGCUAAAGAACUCUAGGCAUAACUGCUUAGAAAAUCAUAAGCAAUCAUAAAACCUUAGAUUUUUAAAGGAAAUUUAGAAAUCAUUUAAUCCAGCCGCCUCAUUUUACAGUUAAAGAAAUUGAGCCCCCCAAGAGGAGAUAUAACUUGUUCAAUGUCAUCCAGCUAAUUUGUAAACUGGGUAGAAUUUUUCCAAAGCUAAUUUUUUGAAUUGAUUAAAACUAUAACUAAGAUAAUUUUAAAUUUUUUUUAAAUUUAUUUAUGAUAGUCACACAGAGAGAGAGAGAGGCAGAGACAUAGGCAGAGGGAGAAGCAGGCUCCAUGCACCAGGAGCCCGACGUGGGAUUCGAUCCCGGGUCUCCAGGAUCGCGCCCUGGGCCAAAGGCAGGCACCAAACCACUGCGCCACCCAGGGAUCCCCAACUAAGAUCAUUUUAAAGGGCACAUACUUUUCCAUCUUGAUCCUUUUGAGUUUUCAUAGGAAUAUUAUUUAUAGAACCAAAUUUACAAAAUCAUGACUCCUAUUGUUAAGAAAACACUGUGAUGUGAGAAAUAGUUAAAUGAGGUUUGGUAUUACCAUGCUUUUUAAUUGAUCAUUUAUCAUAACAAUAGUCUCAGAUGUGGUGGUUAAUUGAAGGUUGACUAGGUCCAAGGUGAUUGAUUUGCUUUACCUUUUAUUUUGGUGGGGGAGAGAGUUGAGAGAAAAUGGACCAACACAUGUAGAGAGAAAUAAUCUUAACAUGGACAUCAGGUUAGGGUAAAAAUCUAUUGUCAUUAUUGUUAAUAAAAUAUCACACUUUGUGUCCACAAGAUCAUAACUCUAGUUUGAAUAUGAAGACCAGAUAAGAAAUUAUAAAUUAUUUUUGUGUCUAUAAUUUGUAUCUAGCUAGAGCCAAAGAUUAAAGGUCUGUGUCUUCCCACGCUCUCUCUAUUGCCUGCUCAUUCCAGUUAGUGAGUUCUCCAACAUGGCCACAAAGAACUUAUAGUCUUUUUUUUUUAAGAAUUUUUUUUUUUUUAGGAUUUUAUUUAUUUAUUCAUGGGAGACACAGAGACAGAGAGGCAGAGACAUAGGUAGAGGAAGAAGCAGGCUCCCUGAAGGAAGCCCAAUGUGGGACUCAAUCCUGGGACUCCAGGAUCACACCCUGAGCCGAAGGCAGAUGCUCAACCGCUGAGCCACCGAGGCAUCCCAAGAACUUAUAGUCUUUGAAGAGCCACUUAUAGUCUUUUAUGCCACUCUGUGCAAGGCAGUGUAUCUCACAAACAGGCCUACCCCUAACAUUUGUGAGCCUGAGGUGAAUAUGAAAAUGGUUAUCUCUGACCCUCUCCCUAUCAUAAUGGAUCACAUAACCCUUCUGUCUGUAAUGACCUCAUCAAAGAAACUUGUGUAUAAUUGUGUAGAAUUCACCAAGCUUCACUACAUAUCCAAGCUCUCUCCACAAGUCCAAACACAAAUUGUACAAGUAACGCAGUCUGCUCUUAAGAGGAUAGAGAGGAUCAGAAGCCCAAGCAAGCACCUGAAGGAGACUCAGACUUCACAAGCGGGGAAUUCUAGGUUUUCUGGGUAAAGAGAGCUUGGUCUAGAAGAAGGAGAACAUGUUUCAGGAGGUGACAGACCUGUCACCUUAUGGGAAAGAGAAAGAUAAGGGAGGGCCAGAAUAGAACCUAAAGUAUUGGACCCAGGAAAGAAGUCUUGGUUGAUUGAAUCAAAAACAGUACUGCUGACAAGAACACUGGCAUAGAACCCUUCUAUAGACAUUGUCUCU
Canis lupus familiaris (dog) is the source of this 4334-nucleotide long non-coding RNA. RefSeq lists it as uncharacterized. The record is from RefSeq and is a predicted model, not a curated record. The transcript is spliced from 4 exons. Lineage: Eukaryota; Metazoa; Chordata; Mammalia; Carnivora; Canidae.